AUUUUUCUUUUUUCUGCAUUGGUAAGAAAACUAUUAACUCAAAGAAAGUAUAUGUAAACAUUUAAACAUCAUAUACUAAUAAUGAACAAGAGUGCAGAUUAAGUAACAAAUAUAUAAAUGAAAACCACCCAAGAUCAGUAAACAAUCUUUAACUAUUACUGUAUUCAUUUUAUAUUAAGGGAGUUCAUCCAGAGGCAGCGAGUGAACUUUGUGUCCUGAAACCAGAAUCAGUUGGGAAGAAUGGAACCAAGUCUACCCAAUUAAAAGGCUUACACAGGUCCCCUUCCAGAUGCUGAUGUCUUGGCUUCUGGUGCAAAACUACGUCAGAUUAAUCCCAAGCCUUUGCUGCCGCAAAUACUUGAGGGCAUGUCAAAAAAGAGUUGUCCCUCUUGGCAGUCCACUUUCAUUCCAGUGUCCCCGUAUAGCUGCAGGUGUUCCUGAUCUUAAUUUCCCCCCACUACCUGUGCUUGGUUUUCAGUUUGGCUGUAAUUUUAAAUUUGGCCAGACGGACGAGUGCAUGAUCCAUCUGAAACAUUCGUUUGGACUAGUGGAGGUAAAAAGCACCUCUGCUGAAAACAUUGCUCAGGUUCCAUUUAUGAAAAUUCAAAGAGGACUAGCCAAACUUAAAGAGACCCAUAAGUACUACUGGCAGGUACAAGGUCAGACUGCAGUGACUGGUCUACACUGGUGUGACUUUGUGACUGACACACAAUCAGAUUUCAUAAUACAGAUGAUCUGGCGAGAUGAUGCCUUCAUAACAUCAAUGAAAGUACUGUUAUAACGUUUAUCUGGAUGUGUAUCUUUCAGUGGUAUGAAUGGACAGAUUCUGUUCAUAUUAUAGUAUGAACCUAAGAUUUAUUUUUACAUUCAUAGUAAAUAUAUACUUUAUGUAGUUGAGUAGUAUGUAGCAUAUUUUGUAGUAGAUCUUUGAUAACAUAUUAGAUACAUCACAAAUUAUAACAAUAAAUAUAUUGUACUUGCUAUUAAUUAGAUAAAUGUACAUACCAAGGUGAAUACUUUUUGUAUGAAAUCUUCUGUAAUGUAUAUGAUAUGCAUAUUCUUUUACUACUUGCGUAUAUUUACAUUUGAUACAUUGUGUGAUAUAACAAAGAAGAUUUUUUUCAUGAGUUAUUAUAAAAAUACUUUUCAUUGUCAACUA
Molecule: long non-coding RNA, 1159 nt
Organism: Carassius gibelio (silver crucian carp)
Lineage: Eukaryota; Metazoa; Chordata; Actinopteri; Cypriniformes; Cyprinidae
Exons: 2
Source: RefSeq, a predicted model, not a curated record